Molecule: microRNA precursor, 202 nt
Organism: Oryza rufipogon (brownbeard rice)
Lineage: Eukaryota; Viridiplantae; Streptophyta; Magnoliopsida; Poales; Poaceae
Rfam family: MIR812 microRNA precursor family
Source: Rfam
AAAAAGCAAAUCCUAGAUUUUCGUGUCCAACUUUAACUGUCCGUCUUAUAUAAAUUUUUUUAUAAUUUGUAUUUUUAUUGUUGUUAGAUGAUAAAAUAUUAUUAAUAUUUUAUGUGUGACUUGUCUUUUUAUUUUUUUAUAAUUUUUUCAAAUAAGACGGACGUUUAAACGUUGGACAUGGAAAAUAGUGUUUGUCUUUUUU